RNAcentral lists this ribosomal RNA (352 nucleotides) under uncultured bacterium. RNAcentral's name for it is "bacterial SSU rRNA". It matches the Rfam family "Bacterial small subunit ribosomal RNA", at positions 8 to 349 of the family's 1533-position model. The record is from RNAcentral.
AGAGUUUGAUCAUGGCUCAGGAUGAACGCUAGCUACAGGCUUAACACAUGCAAGUCGAGGGGAGACGACAUCGAAAGCUUGCUUUUGAUGGGCGUCGACCGGCGCACGGGUGAGUAACGCGUAUCCAACCUGCCCAUCACUUGGGGAUAACCUUGCGAAAGUAAGACUAAUACCCAAUGAUAUCUCUAGAAGACAUCUGAAAGAGAUUAAAGAUUUAUCGGUGAUGGAUGGGGAUGCGUCUGAUUAGCUUGUUGGCGGGGUAACGGCCACCAAGGCUACGAUCAGUAGGGGUUCUGAGAGGAAGGUCCCCCANAUUGGAACUGAGACACGGUCCAAACUCCGUACGGGAGCA